UACGAGGGGGGCUAGCGUUGCUCGGAUUGACUGGGCGUAAAGGGCGCGUAGGCGGUUCGUACAGUCAGACGUGAAAUUCCUGGGCUCAACCUGGGGGCUGCGUUUGAUACGUGCGGACUUGAGUGCGGAAGAGGGUCGUGGAAUUCCCAGUGUAGAGGUGAAAUUCGUAGAUAUUGGGAAGAACACCGGUGGCGAAGGCGGCGACCUGGUCCGAUACUGACGCUGAGGCGCGAAAGCGUGGGGAGCAAACAGG
This 253-nucleotide ribosomal RNA is filed under the name uncultured bacterium. RNAcentral describes it as "partial 16S ribosomal RNA". It matches the Rfam family "Bacterial small subunit ribosomal RNA", at positions 524 to 776 of the family's 1533-position model. The record is from RNAcentral.